RNAcentral lists this small nucleolar RNA (87 nucleotides) under Meyerozyma guilliermondii ATCC 6260. RNAcentral's name for it is "Small nucleolar RNA R38". It matches the Rfam family "Small nucleolar RNA R38". Rfam says of the family: snoR38 is a C/D box small nucleolar RNA conserved across yeast, human, Arabidopsis and rice. It is encoded in the intron of elongation factor-1 gamma in both pombe and cerevisiae. snoR38 guides the methylation of 2'-O-ribose sites in 28S rRNA. Lineage: Eukaryota; Fungi; Ascomycota; Pichiomycetes; Serinales; Debaryomycetaceae. The record is from Rfam by way of RNAcentral.
UACUCCAAAUGAUGAGAAAAUUUUUAAAAAUUAACAGUUAUCCCUGUCUUAACAUAUUAUGUCGAGAAUUUAUACUCUGAAGAAAUA